UACGGGGGGGGCAAGCGUUGUUCGGAUUUACUGGGCGUAAAGGGCGCGUAGGCGGCGCGACAAGUCACUUGUGAAAUCUCCGGGCUUAACCCGGAGCGGCCAAGUGAUACUGUCGUGCUGGAGUGCGGAAGGGGCCACCGGAAUUCUCGGUGUAGCGGUGAAAUGCGUAGAUAUCGAGAGGAACACCUGCGGCGAAGGCGGGUGGGUGGGCCGACACUGACGCUGAGGUGCGAGAGCGUGGGGAGCGAACCGG
This 253-nucleotide ribosomal RNA is filed under the name uncultured bacterium. RNAcentral's name for it is "partial 16S ribosomal RNA". It matches the Rfam family "Bacterial small subunit ribosomal RNA", at positions 524 to 776 of the family's 1533-position model. The record is from RNAcentral.